RNAcentral lists this long non-coding RNA (228 nucleotides) under Manihot esculenta (cassava). RNAcentral describes it as "long non-coding RNA (MESC_LNC011966)". Lineage: Eukaryota; Viridiplantae; Streptophyta; Magnoliopsida; Malpighiales; Euphorbiaceae. The record is from RNAcentral.
GAACUGGACUGUCUCUUUCUUCUGCUGAGUGCCUUCUUUGAUAUUUUUUAUCAGAGGAUUUCUUUGAAGAUUCUUUAUUGGAAGUUUGCUUUAUUUUUUCCUUUUUUAUUGAUUCUCCUGAAGCAAGAUGAUUGAACAUUUGCUGACAAAUCAUUUUAUAUUCUUUGGGAGUUUUAGCUGCUGUUAACAAGGCCUGAUAUUGAGCUUUCUGGGCACCAAAUGAGGGUU